Molecule: ribosomal RNA, 264 nt
Filed under: uncultured bacterium
Lineage: Bacteria
Description: partial 16S ribosomal RNA
Rfam family: Bacterial small subunit ribosomal RNA
Source: RNAcentral
GCAAGUCGUACGUGAAAGCUUCCUUCGGGAAGUGAUUAAAGUGGCGCACGGGUGAGUAACACGUGGAUAACCUACCCGACAGUCAGGGAUAACAUUUCGAAAGGAAUGCUAAUACCUGAUAAGCCUACGCCCUCCUCGGAGGAAGUAGGAAAAGGUGGGGACCUUCGGGCCUGCCGUUGUCGGAUGAGUCCGCGGCCCAUUAGCUAGUUGGUAGGGUAAUGGCCUACCAAGGCGACGAUCAGUAGCCGGCCUGAGAGGGUGAAC